Molecule: ribosomal RNA, 386 nt
Filed under: uncultured bacterium
Lineage: Bacteria
Description: bacterial SSU rRNA
Rfam family: Bacterial small subunit ribosomal RNA
Source: RNAcentral
GACGAACGCUGGCGGCGUGCCUAACACAUGCAAGUCGAACGGGGUUUAUAAUGGAAGAUCCUUCGGGGUUGGAAGUUUUAACUUAGUGGCGAACCGGGUGAGUAACGCGUGAGAAACCUGCCUUUCAGUGGGGGACAACAGUUGGAAACGACUGCUAAUACCGCAUAAUGUAUUUUAGGGGCAUCCCUUUUGAUACCAAAGCUUAAUGUGCUGAAAGAUGGUCUCGCGUCUGAUUAGCUAGUUGGCGGGGUAAUGGCCCACCAAGGCGACGAUCAGUAGCCGGUCUGGGAGGAUGAACGGCCACAUUGGGACUGAGAUACGGCCCAGACUCCUACGGGAGGCAGCAUGGGGAAUAUUGGGCAAAUGGGGAAACCCUGACCCAGCAA